This is a long non-coding RNA of Lolium rigidum, 275 nucleotides long. RefSeq lists it as uncharacterized. The record is from RefSeq and is a predicted model, not a curated record. The transcript is spliced from 3 exons. NCBI's taxonomy places the organism in Eukaryota, Viridiplantae, Streptophyta, Magnoliopsida, Poales, Poaceae.
AGUAGCUGGAGAACAAUCAAACAGCUGGAAAGCCUCGACCCGUUCGAGCUACCGGAGAAUGCUAGGUUUUUGUGCAAAGUUUCCCUGGUGAAGAUAGACUGCACCAAUGGCUGGUGCUAUCGUGGAUGCUUCGACUGCAAACGGUGGAUCAGCCAGAACGGAAGCGAGGUCUGGUGCAGCCAAUGUGCUUCAGUUAACAAGAAGAGGAAGAGGCUGGUUUGGUUGUACAAGCUGGAUGCGGUGGUGGAAGAUGCCACCGGCACAAUGAACCUUAG